RNAcentral lists this ribosomal RNA (600 nucleotides) under Kluyveromyces marxianus. RNAcentral's name for it is "eukaryotic LSU rRNA". The stretch from base 149 to 302 matches the Rfam family "5.8S ribosomal RNA". The record is from RNAcentral. Lineage: Eukaryota; Fungi; Ascomycota; Saccharomycetes; Saccharomycetales; Saccharomycetaceae.
CUAUCAGUUUUCUAUUUCUCAUCCUAAACACAAUGGAGUUUUUUCUCUAUGAACUACUUCCCUGGAGAGCUCGUCUCUCCAGUGGACAUAAACACAAACAAUAUUUUGUAUUAUGAAAAACUAUUAUACUAUAAAAUUUAAUAUUCAAAACUUUCAACAACGGAUCUCUUGGUUCUCGCAUCGAUGAAGAACGCAGCGAAUUGCGAUAUGUAUUGUGAAUUGCAGAUUUUCGUGAAUCAUCAAAUCUUUGAACGCACAUUGCGCCCUCUGGUAUUCCAGGGGGCAUGCCUGUUUGAGCGUCAUUUCUCUCUCAAACCUUUGGGUUUGGUAGUGAGUGAUACUCGUCUCGGGUUAACUUGAAAGUGGCUAGCCGUUGCCAUCUGCGUGAGCAGGGCUGCGUGUCAAGUCUAUGGACUCGACUCUUGCACAUCUACGUCUUAGGUUUGCGCCAAUUCGUGGUAAGCUUGGGUCAUAGAGACUCAUAGGUGUUAUAAAGACUCGCUGGUGUUUGUCUCCUUGAGGCAUACGGCUUUAACCAAAACUCUCAAAGUUUGACCUCAAAUCAGGUAGGAGUACCCGCUGAACUUAAGCAUAUCAAUA